RNAcentral lists this ribosomal RNA (506 nucleotides) under uncultured bacterium. Its description in RNAcentral is "partial 16S ribosomal RNA". It matches the Rfam family "Bacterial small subunit ribosomal RNA", at positions 30 to 523 of the family's 1533-position model. The record is from RNAcentral.
AUUGAACGCUGGCGGCAGGCUUAACACAUGCAAGUCGAGCGGUAACAGAGAGAAGCUUGCUUCUCUGCUGACGAGCGGCGGACGGGUGAGUAAUGCCUAGGAAUCUGCCUAGUAGUGGGGGAUAACUUGCCGAAAGGUAAGCUAAUACCGCAUACGUCCUACGGGAGAAAGGAGGGGACCUUCGGGCCUUUCGCUAUUAGAUGAGCCUAGGUCGGAUUAGUUAGUUGGUGAGGUAAUGGCUCACCAAGACCGCGAUCCGUAACUGGUCUGAGAGGAUGAUGAGUCACAGUGGAACUGAGACACGGUUCAGACUUCUACGGGAGGAAGCAGUGGGGAAUAUUGGACAAUGGGGGGAACCCUGAUUCAGCCAUGCCGCGUGUGUGAAGAAGGUCUUAGGAUUGUAAAGCACUUUAAGUUGGGAGGAAGAGCAGUUAACUAAUAUUUGACUGUUUUGACGUUACCGACAGAAUAAGCACCGGCUAACUUCGUGCCAGCCGCCGCCGUAA